CACAACUGAUAGUAUAAGGUUUGAGCCUUCCAUUUUAUGUCUGCUCUGUUUGUCCUAAUUCCCUUUAAGGAUUUAUAUGAAACUUGAGUCAAAUGAUCACCUCAUCAAGGUGAUGUGCAGAAAUGAGUCAGCCAUGCCGGCUCAAGGUCAAGGUCACAACUCGAGGUCAAAGGUUUGAGCCUUCCAUUUUGUGUCCACUCUGUAUCUCCUAAACCCCUUGAAGAAUUUUCAUCAUACUUGGGUCAAAUGAUCACCUCAUCAAGAACUCAUAAGUCAGCUGUGUCAACUCAAGGUCAAGGUCACAACUCAAGGUCAAAGGUUUGAGCUCUGUAUCUCCGAAACCCCUUGAAGGAUUUUCAUGAAACUUGGGUCAAGUGAUCAACCCAUUUUUUUGUGUGCAGAAUUCGUGAACCAUGUCAAUUCAAGGUCAAGGUCACAGCUUAAGGUCAAAGGUUAUUCCUUUCACUGUCCAUAGCAGUGGCGGAGGAUUUAGCUGUCUUUCAGACUGCCUUGUAUUCCUUUAGUUUUGUAUAGCUAUUUUUUACACUAGAAUGAUGGAGUACUUGGGAAAAUAUGUCGCAGCAGGAUAUAGGGAUGCAUCGCACUGCUCUUUAUCAUGAACAGGUUUGUGCAUUGCUACUUCUGUUACCAUUUUUGCAUGCUUUUCUCUGCAGAUUUUUCCAAAUUGGUGGCGGAUGUUUAAUACAAGCACAUGUGAAGAUAUAAUGUUGUAGAUGUUGCAACUAUGGUGCUUGAUAUUGACAAACACGUGCAUGGAUGUCAUGUUUUAGAUUUCACAAUGGUUAAGUGGAUGGUGCAGCUUGGUCCUUUUUCUAAGGCACAACAGGCCAGAGUGACUGAAGAGCUUAGGGCAUGCGCAUACAGUUUCUGGCUUUGGUGAUUGUAAAGCUCGAAGUAUUUGAUGAGAAACUCAGACUAUACGGCAAGAAGCAGUUUCCUGGAUCAUACACUUAAGGACGUAUAAUCUAGUAAACAGUGUCUUUUCAUUUUCAAAGAGGGUUGACAUACCCAGCUUUCCAAGUAUUGGUGAGAAACCCAGGAAAAAUGCAAUGCGGCUAUUUAUUUUAUUGUAUUAACAGGAAGAAACUUUUAAUUGAUGGAACUAUAACUUCCGAAGGACAACCUUGCUGGUACCAUAAAGCUGCUGAUAACCAGAGGUGCACUAGUACCAGUCAGUACCGGUCACCAGAGAUGCACUGGUACCCUAUUGAUGCCUAUCAUCAGAGGUGUGCUGGGCCCCUUAUGUCAACAUAUUAAUCAACUGUUUUCGGCCAGCACUGUUUGAUGGUCUCAAUGGAAUUCAAGGCUUAGUGGACAUGUUGUCUGUAUUUGGCCUGUCGUGCUCAUGUUAGAGAGCUCUUCCACACCUCUUGCACAAAAUGGAAAAUCCUUGAUGGCCGGACAGACAAAGAACUCAGUUGGGUUUAAAAAGGCAAGAAGAUAGUGUUUUACGUUGCUGAAAGACAUAGAAAAGAACCGAUUGCAGAAAAAUAUCACCAUGCCAUCCUGUGUUUGUUAUUUCCGAUAGAUGGCAGCGCAAUGCAUUCCAGAUUGAUUUCAAACACACAAGAGAAAUAUAUGCAGAAGGAAGAACAAAGUAUGAUGAAUUCAUGACAAACCUUGCACAAGAUAUAAGCAUAUCACCAUCACAGCCGCCCUGACACGAGCAUAUUUAAACAAAUUAGAAAUAAGCUGACAUGUUUAUAAUCAUAUCCCCACGUACAAAGUAUAUGGGGUUAUAUUGGAGUCACGUAUGUCCAACAGUCCGUUCGUCCAUCCGCCCAUCGUGUCCGCUUUCAUAAAACUGACAUCAGUUAUUAAUUUCAUCAGGAUGGUGUGCAGAGCUCACAACUCAUGUCAUUAGGUCCAAAGUUAAGGUUACCUUUUGAGGUCUAAAGUCAAGUAGUUUAACUUCAUGUCCGCUCCAUAUUGUCUAAAUGGCUUGGCAGGUACUUAACUCGACUAUUCGAAGAUUAAAGAGAAUUAUUGUACUUGCCUUUGCGUCGUCGUCACUGCCACCGAUGUAUUCAUGUUAAAAUUUUAUGGCAAGCUUGUUUUACUAUAUAUUCUUUACUAUUUCCCCUUUUAACUUCAAACUUCACAAGUGUUAGUCUUGGUAAGGGACAGACAUCUGUUAUUUUAAACGUCAAGGUCACUGGGUCAAACAUUAUAACAGUGCUGGUUAAAGUUUUAUGACAAACUUCUCAUUUGCACUAUAUCCUCUUAUCCACUAUCCUAUAAUCAUCAAACCUUACAUAAGGAUUGACCUUAGGAAGGGGCAAAAGUCUUUAGGUUUAAGAUCAGGUAGGUCAAAGGUCAAGGGCACUGGGUCAGAUUUUGUAAUAAUGUUCGUUAAAGUUUUAUGCACGCUUCACAAUUGGACUUAUUACUCAUACUGUUUCUUUGCACUGGUAUGUCCCACGCUUUUGAGCCCUACCCAUACUUUCUAUACCCCAAUCCCGACACCUACCAAAAGAUACAUUCCUCACACAAACUUAUAUUUCAUAUUCCCCUCAUUUCCGCUACCCACCUGUCUCCACCUACCACCUUCAACCCCAUUUCACCACCUCUUGCCCAGAACAAAGAUUUAUUAUGUCUCCCCCAGGAGACAUAUCGUUUUUGCCCUGUCCGUCCGUCCGUACGUCACACUUCAUUUCCGAGCAAUAACUGGGGAACCAUUUGACCUAGAACCUUCAAACUUCAUAGGGUUGUAGGGCUGCUGGAGAAGACGACCCCUAUUGUUUUUGGGGUCACUCCGUCAAAGGUCAAGGUCACAGGGGCCCGAACAUUGAAAACCAUUUCCGAUCAAUAACUAGAGAACCACUUGACCAAGAAUGUUGAAACUUCAUAGGAUGAUUGGUCAUAAAGAGUAGAUGACCCCUAUUGAUUUUGGGGUCACUCCAUCAAAGGUCAAGGUCACAGGGGCCUGAACAUGGAAAACCAUUUCCGAUCAAUAACUAGAGAACCACUUGACCCAGAAUGUUAAAACUUCAUAGGUUGAUUGUACAUGCAAAGUAGAUGACCCCUAUCGAUUUUGGGGUCACUCCAUUAAAGGUCAAGGUCACAGGGGCCCGAACAUUGAAAACCAUUUCCGGUCAGUAACUUGAGAACCACUUGACCCAGAAUGUUGAAACUUCAUAGGAUGAUUGGUCAUGAAGAGUAGAUGACCCCUAUUGAUUUUGGGGUCACUCUGUCAAAGGUCAAGGUCACAGGGACCUGAACAUUGAAAACCAUUUCUGAUCAAUAACUAGAGAACCACUUGACCCAGAAUGUUGAAAAUUCAUAGGAUGAUUGAUGAUGAAGAGUAGAUGAUCCCUAUUGAUAUUGGGGUCACUCCGUCAAAGGUCAAGGUCACAGGGGCCUGAACAUUGAAAACCAUUUCCGAUCAAUAACUAGAGAACCACUUGACCCAGAAUGUUGAAACUUCAUAGGAUGAUUGGUCAUAAAGAGUAGAUGACCCCUAUUGAUUUUGGGGUCACUCCAUCAAAGGUCAAGGUCACAGGGGCCUGAACAUGGAAAACCAUUUCCAAUCAAUAACUAGAGAACCACUUGACCCAGAAUGUUGAAACUUCAUAGAAUGAUUCAACAUACAAAGUAGAUGACCCCUAUCGAUUUUGGGGUCACUCCAUUAAAGGUCAAGGUCACAGGGGCCUGAACAUUGAAAACCAUUUCCGGUCAGUAACUUGAGAACCACUUGACCCAGAAUGUUGAAACUUAAUAGGAUGAUUGGUCAUGCAGAGUAGAUGACCCCUAACGAUUUUGGGGUCACUGUGAAAGGUCAAGGUCACAGGGACCUGAACAUUGAAAACCAUUUCUGGUCAGUAACUUCAGAACCACUUGACCCAGAAUGAUGAAACUUCAUAGGAUGAUUGGUCAUGCAGAGUAGUUGACCCCUAACGAUUUUAGGGUCACUCUGUUAAAGAUCAAGGCCACAGGGGCCUGAACAUGGAAAACCAUUUCCAAUCAAUAACUUGAGAACCUUUCGACCCAGAAUGUUGAAACUUCAUAGGAUUAUUGUUCAUGCAGAGUAAAUGACCCCUAUUGUUUUUGGGGUCACUCCGUUAAAGGUCAAGGUCACAGGGGCCUGAACACUGAUAACCAGUUCUGAUCAAUAACUUGAGAACCACUUGACCCAGAAUGUUGAAACUUCAUAGGAUGAUUGAACAUGCAGAGUAGAUGACCCCUAUUGAUUUUGGGGUCAGUCUAUUAAAGGUCAAGGUCACAGGGGCCUGUUCAUGUAAAAUCAUUUUUUGGAAAUAACUUGAGAACCACUUGACCUACAAUGUUGAAACUUAAUAGGAUGAUUGGACAUGCAGAGUAGAUGACCCCUAUAUAUUUUGAGGUCACUUGAUCAAAGGUCAAGGUCACAGAAGCCUGAACAGUGACUUGAGAAACACUAGGCCAAGAGUGUUGAAAUUUAGCGGGAUGAUUGGACAUGCCAAGUAGAUGAUCCCUAUUGCAGCCAACCAUAAGUGUCUCUUUGACUUUCGCUCCUGACCCCUAUUGACUUCUUGCCUAUAGGACUUUGCAUUGGGGGAGACAUGCGCUUUUUUACAAAAGCAUUUUCUAGUUUUACAUUUUCUUUACAAUAAAUUAGAUUGUAAAUUGAUGUAUAUCUUGUAUAUCAUAUGUUUAUAUGAUGUUUCAGUAUCCCUUAUUCCCACACUUCUACUCCCAACCCCACUCGACUCUAAUUUUUUUCUUAUAUAUGUUUUACAUCUCUCACACAUCACAUCUCAUCCCCCAUCUCCUAUUCUACAGCAACACCCCCUCACUAUUUGUAGAUCACUAGGUCCAAGGGCAAGGUCACACUUGAAGGUCAAAAGUCAUGGUGACAAAAUUUUACAUUCCCUUUGCAAAAGCGACGUCUGGGGGUACUAAUCACUUUAAUUGAUAGCUUUAAUUGCUCAUGUUUAAGUUACCUAAAUGUAUAGCAUUAGCUGAAUUGUAUUAUUUAUUUGUUAAAUGUAAGUUAAAUUUUAGGAUAAUUGAGGAAAUUAUAUAAUUUUAAAUUGGUGAUACAGUCGAACUAUUUUAGACGAAUCAAAUAUUUCUAGCUUGGUUUGUUACUGGUCUUGAAAUAAUAUAUCUAUAGUUUUAAAGUAUCGCAUUAUAUUUAAAAAUACAUUUAUGAAGAUUUGUUAAAUUAUUUCAAAAGCAUCUCAAAUAUAAGUUAUUUUAAAACUGGACAGGGAUAGUUUUCAAAGAUAAAUAAAUAUGCGGGGAUCAGUUUAUGCACACAAAUAAAAGAAUUUGGGACCGGAGUUUAACUUUAUUUUGUUUGUUUGUUUUAGUAUAAGGUCGAAAUACGAAUCACUCAAGAUGCAACUUCUGAAAAUAUAAACUGUAGUGUUCACGCAUAAAAAUAAUUCAGUUUUACAUAUAAAUUAAAGAUUUUUUUCGUACACAAUUUAUCAGUGUAGGUCACACGUAACGUUACGCUUGCUCUUAUGGCAAUAAAUAUGUUGGAAAAAAUUAAUAUAGUUCUACGAGAUUGAUUUCUUUUUCAGUUUAAUAUUGCUAAUUUCAACUGAUUUAUUUUUGUUUGUUAAAACACUGUCGAAUUAUGUGUAGAUCUAAUUCAUAUAUAUUCUUUCGCGUUUAAUUGAUGUUGCGUGCAAAUGAACAUUGUAUUUGGAUUUCCCACUUCUAAAACUGUGGGUUUAUCAGGGUAUAAUGUGUCGUUAUGUUUCACUAAUACUCUGAAAGCUUGACGUAAAAUUCCAUACUACAAAAUGUAGAGAUAAAAUCAUAAUUGUUUUAUUCAAACACAUAUUCUACCGUCUUUUGUCUGGGUCGUCUAUAUGUAAAUUUUAAAAGUCAUUUUGGUCUCAUUUCUUGUAUAUUAAAUUUUACACAGUUUGGCAUAACUCUUAACCGCAUAACUCUUAACCGACACCUAACUCCUGAGCACUAACAUUAACGCUUGGGGCUGAAAUGACUUUUAAAGCAAUUUUGUCUUUUGUAGGAACAAUGUGUUAAACGUUAAAUGUUUUAGGAACGAUGUGUAAAAA
Mercenaria mercenaria is the source of this 6035-nucleotide long non-coding RNA. RefSeq lists it as uncharacterized. The transcript has 5 exons. The record is from RefSeq and is a predicted model, not a curated record. NCBI's taxonomy places the organism in Eukaryota, Metazoa, Mollusca, Bivalvia, Venerida, Veneridae.